AGAGAUUGAUCCUGGCUCAGAAUGAACGCUGGCGGCGGGCCUAAUACAUGCAAGUCGAACGAGGCGGGAGUGCUUGCACUCCUAGCCGAGUGGCGCACGGGUGAGUAACACGUAGGUAAUCUACCCCGAAGCCUGGGAUAACAGGGAGAAAUCGCUGCUAAUACCAGAUAAUGUUGCAGAUUUUAGUUAAUUUGCGACCAAACGGGUUUCCGCUUCGGAAUGAGCCUGCGGCCCAUUAGCUAGUAGGUGGGGUAAAAGCCUACCUAGGCGACGAUGGGUAGCCGGCCUGAGAGGGUGAUCGGCCACACUGGAACUGAGACACGGUCCAGACUCCUACGGGAGGCAGCAGUAGGGAAUAUUGGACAAUGGGCGAAAGCCUGAUCCAGCCACGCCGCGUGAGCGAAGAAGCCCUUCGGGGUGUAAAGCUCUGUAAGGUGGGAAGACGACUUCGGUCAGACGGUACCACCAAAGUAAGCCCCGGCUAACUCCGUGCCAGCAGCCGCGGUAAUACGGGGGGGGCAAGCGUUAUUCGGAAUUACUGGGCGUAAAGAGCGCGUAGGCGGCCAUUCUAGUCGCUUCGUUAAAUACCCUGGCUUAACCAGGGACCUGCGGGCGAUACUGUUUGGCUUGAGUGCGAGAGAGGGGAGUGGAAUUCCUAGUGUAGCGGUGAAAUGCGUAGGUAUUAGGAGGAACACCAGUGGCGAAGGCGACUCCCUGGAUCGUAACUGACGCUGAGGCGCGAAAGCUAGGGGAGCAAACGGGAUUAGAUACCCCGGUAGUCCUAGCCGUAAACGAUGGGCACUAGGUGUGGCAGGCAUCGACCCCUGCCGUGCCGGAGCUAACGCGUUAAGUGCCCCGCCUGGGGAGUACGUUCGCAAGAAUGAAACUCAAAGGAAUUGACGGGGGCCCGCACAAGCGGUGGAGCAUGUGGUUUAAUUCGAUGCAACGCGAAGAACCUUACCGGGGUUUGACAUGCACGAGCUACUCUGCGAAAUCAGAGGUUCCUUCGGGACUCGUGAACAGGUGCUGCAUGGCUGUCGUCAGCUCGUGUCGUGAGAUGUUGGGUUAAGUCCCGCAACGAGCGCAACCCUUGCCCUUAGUUGCCAUCAGGUGAAGCUGGGAACUCUAAGGGGACUGCCGUUGAAAAAACGGAGGAAGGUGGGGAUGAGGUCAAGUCAUCAUGGCCCUUACGUCCCGGGCUACACACGUGCUACAAUGGUCGGUACAAAGGGUUGCAAGACCGCAAGGUGGAGCCAAUCCCAAAAAGCCGAUCUCAGUUCGGAUUGGAGUCUGCAACUCGACUCCAUGAAGGUGGAAUCGCUAGUAAUCGUGGAUCAGCACGCCACGGUGAAUACGUUCCCGGGCCUUGUACACACCGC
This 1379-nucleotide ribosomal RNA is filed under the name metagenome. RNAcentral's name for it is "bacterial SSU rRNA". It matches the Rfam family "Bacterial small subunit ribosomal RNA". The record is from RNAcentral.